CCCUGCCAUUUGUACACACCGCCCGUCGCUACUACCGAUUGGAUGGUUUAGUGAGGCCCUCGGAUCGGCCCCGCCGGGGUCGGCCCACGGCCCUGGCGGAGCGCUGAGAAGACGGUCGAACUUGACUAUCUAGAGGAAGUAAAAGUCGUAACAAG
RNAcentral lists this ribosomal RNA (155 nucleotides) under uncultured eukaryote. RNAcentral describes it as "partial small subunit ribosomal RNA". It matches the Rfam family "Eukaryotic small subunit ribosomal RNA", at positions 1651 to 1798 of the family's 1831-position model. The record is from RNAcentral.